CAAUGGGGGAACCCUGAUGCAGCGACGCCGCGUGAGCGAAGAAGUAUUUCGGUAUGUAAAGCUCUAUCAGCAGGGNAAGAUAAUGACGGUACCUGACUAAGAAGCCCCGGCUAACUACGUGCCAGCAGCCGCGGUAAUACGUAGGGGGCAAGCGUUAUCCGGAUUUACUGGGUGUAAAGGGAGCGUAGACGGCAAGGCAAGUCUGAUGUGAAAACCCAGGGCUUAACCCUGGGACUGCAUUGGAAACUGUCUGGCUCGAGUGCCGGAGAGGUAAGCGGAAUUCCUAGUGUAGCGGUGAAAUGCGUAGAUAUUAGGAAGAACACCAGUGGCGAAGGCGGCUUACUGGACGGUAACUGACGUUGAGGCUCGAAAGCGUGGGGAGCAAACAGGAUUAGAUACCCUGGUAGUCCAAGGGCGAAUUC
This 422-nucleotide ribosomal RNA is filed under the name uncultured bacterium. RNAcentral describes it as "SSU rRNA". It matches the Rfam family "Bacterial small subunit ribosomal RNA", at positions 369 to 808 of the family's 1533-position model. The record is from RNAcentral.